UACAGAGGUCCCAAGCGUUGUUCGGAUUCACUGGGCGUAAAGGGUGCGUAGGUGGCCAGGUAAGUUUGGUGUGAAAGCUCGGAGCUUAACUCCGAAAAGUCAUUGAAUACUAUCUGGCUGGAGGGUCGGAGGGGAGACUGGAAUUCUCGGUGUAGCAGUGAAAUGCGUAGAUAUCGAGAGGAACACCAGUGGCGAAGGCGAGUCUCUGGACGACUCCUGACACUGAGGCACGAAAGCCAGGGGAGCAAACGGG
This 253-nucleotide ribosomal RNA is filed under the name uncultured bacterium. RNAcentral describes it as "partial 16S ribosomal RNA". It matches the Rfam family "Bacterial small subunit ribosomal RNA", at positions 524 to 776 of the family's 1533-position model. The record is from RNAcentral.